GGUCUAUUAGUCUAGUUGGUUAGGACGUCGGAUUCUGAUUGCGUAGUCCUAUCUUUCCGUAGGCCCAGGUUCGAAUCCUGGAUGGACCU
This is a transfer RNA of Colletotrichum incanum, 89 nucleotides long. It matches the Rfam family "tRNA". Rfam says of the family: Transfer RNA (tRNA) molecules are approximately 80 nucleotides in length. Their secondary structure includes four short double-helical elements and three loops (D, anti-codon, and T loops). Further hydrogen bonds mediate the characteristic L-shaped molecular structure. tRNAs have two regions of fundamental functional importance: the anti-codon, which is responsible for specific mRNA codon recognition, and the 3' end, to which the tRNAs corresponding amino acid is attached (by aminoacyl-tRNA synthetases). tRNAs cope with the degeneracy of the genetic code in two manners: having more than one tRNA (with a specific anti-codon) for a particular amino acid; and 'wobble' base-pairing, i.e. permitting non-standard base-pairing at the 3rd anti-codon position. The record is from Rfam. Lineage: Eukaryota; Fungi; Ascomycota; Sordariomycetes; Glomerellales; Glomerellaceae.